UACGAAGGGGGCUAGCGUUGCUCGGAAUUACUGGGCGUAAAGGGAGCGUAGGCGGAUAGUUUAGUCAGAGGUGAAAGCCCAGGGCUCAACCUUGGAAUUGCCUUUGAUACUGGCUACCUUGAGUACGGAAGAGGUAUGUGGAACUCCGAGUGUAGAGGUGAAAUUCGUAGAUAUUCGGAAGAACACCAGUGGCGAAGGCGACAUACUGGUCCGUUACUGACGCUGAGGCUCGAAAGCGUGGGGAGCAAACAGG
This 253-nucleotide ribosomal RNA is filed under the name uncultured bacterium. RNAcentral's name for it is "partial 16S ribosomal RNA". It matches the Rfam family "Bacterial small subunit ribosomal RNA", at positions 524 to 776 of the family's 1533-position model. The record is from RNAcentral.